AGUGGUCCAAACACAUGGAGAGGGUCAUGAACAUAGGGAAACUAUUAGGAGAACACAUUCGCCUCCAAAAGGUCUUGGCCAGAAUUGUCAACAAAGAUGUUGUAAAUGAGGUUGGGAAGUUUUACUUCCAGCUAGAGCGAGAUGAACAACGACUUCACCGAGUUGAAGACAUAUCACGGUAAUCGAUUGCGAGCGAUACAUUGCUUCGAAACAUCUUGAUUCGUUAUUCAUUUUAUAAGUUGAGAAUUUUACAUAUUGUUG
This 261-nucleotide long non-coding RNA is filed under the name Hordeum vulgare. RNAcentral describes it as "long non-coding RNA (HVUL_LNC007256)". Lineage: Eukaryota; Viridiplantae; Streptophyta; Magnoliopsida; Poales; Poaceae. The record is from RNAcentral.